RNAcentral lists this ribosomal RNA (695 nucleotides) under Kribbella sp. L2122. Its description in RNAcentral is "bacterial SSU rRNA". It matches the Rfam family "Bacterial small subunit ribosomal RNA", at positions 24 to 734 of the family's 1533-position model. The record is from RNAcentral. Lineage: Bacteria; Bacillati; Actinomycetota; Actinomycetes; Propionibacteriales; Kribbellaceae.
UCAGGACGAACGCUGGCGGCGUGCUUAACACAUGCAAGUCGAGCGGUAAGGCCCCUUCGGGGGUACACGAGCGGCGAACGGGUGAGUAACACGUGAGCAACCUACCCUCAACUUUGGGAUAAGCCUCGGAAACGGGGUCUAAUACCGGAUAAUACUGACCGUCUCAUGGUGGUUGGUUGAAAGUUCUGGCGGUUGGGGAUGGGCUCGCGGCCUAUCAGCUUGUUGGUGGGGUAAUGGCCUACCAAGGCGUCGACGGGUAGCCGGCCUGAGAGGGCGACCGGCCACACUGGGACUGAGACACGGCCCAGACUCCUACGGGAGGCAGCAGUGGGGAAUAUUGCGCAAUGGACGAAAGUCUGACGCAGCAACGCCGCGUGAGGGAUGACGGCCUUCGGGUUGUAAACCUCUUUCAGCAGGGACGAAGCGAGAGUGACGGUACCUGCAGAAGAAGGACCGGCCAACUACGUGCCAGCAGCCGCGGUAAUACGUAGGGUCCGAGCGUUGUCCGGAAUUAUUGGGCGUAAAGGGCUCGUAGGCGGUUCGUCACGUCGGGAGUGAAAACUCGGGGCUUAACCCCGAGCCUGCUUCCGAUACGGGCAGACUAGAGGUAGGCAGGGGAGAGCGGAACUCCUGGUGUAGCGGUGGAAUGCGCAGAUAUCAGGAAGAACACCGGUGGCGAAGGCGGCUCUCUGGGC